This is a long non-coding RNA of Pecten maximus, 961 nucleotides long. RefSeq lists it as uncharacterized. The record is from RefSeq and is a predicted model, not a curated record. NCBI's taxonomy places the organism in Eukaryota, Metazoa, Mollusca, Bivalvia, Pectinida, Pectinidae. The transcript has 3 exons.
UGUCCAUCACGUGUGGCCAUUCAGUGGCUGACAGUGGGUCGCAAUCACGUGCACUCUUCUGUGUGGCCGAUAGUGGACCCCGUCAGGUGUAGCUGAACUCCUUACACGCCCCACCUAACAUGUUACACACCACAGAGGCCGUGGUACAGUGACUUUACUACUUCGGAGUAAGAUCUAUCGCCUGUGAUUGUUCUACGGAUUACCAAUACAAUGAGUGACUACCAAUGGAUUUGUCAUCACAGUUAGUGAUUGUGGAUUUGUCAUCACAGUUAGUGAUUGUGGAUUUGUCAUCACAGUUAGUGAUUGUGGAUUUGUCAUCACAGUUAGUGAUUGUGGAUUUGUCAUCACAGUUAGUAACUGUCCGUGGAUAUAGUAUGGAGCAGUGGAUUAAAUGUUUAACAGGCCGAUAUGUGUCGUGACGGAACUUUUCUGAAAAGCUUCCUAUCAUACUGGGACACACCCACAGCAUCCAUCCCUGAUGUGUGAACGGUAUAGAAGUUUUACGUGAGUGACUAUUUGCCGCGGUAAAAGUGACAAUACCUUGGCCAGCUUUAGGGCGCCUUUGGACUGUAGUUCUACCACGAUAGACAUUAAUGACUUGCGUGUGUCUGAAAUAUUGAUGUCCUGGCUCCCUGAGUGAUGUCCCUGUAAGGAGUAUUCCGCCAUGAAGGUUGACAUUAAGCCAUCACCACUGCGAUGGUUCCUCUUCGCUAUCAACAUCAUCUUUUUCCUCCUUGGGUUUGCCAUGGUAGCGGCCGGUAUGGCCGUCAAGGUCAAAGGUGACUUUAUUAAUGGGCCCUUAGUGGAACUACUCCGAGAACUAAACACACAGCAAGAUGGCGCCACCAUCGCUGACAUGCUGGUUACAUUGUCAAAUCUCUUUAUCGCGGUUGGUCUAGCCGGAUUAGUUGUCUCGCUGAUUGGCUGUUCCGGUGCCGCCUGUAGCUGGAGAAGUUGCCUU